Molecule: transfer RNA, 73 nt
Filed under: Mycobacterium koreense
Lineage: Bacteria; Bacillati; Actinomycetota; Actinomycetes; Mycobacteriales; Mycobacteriaceae
Description: tRNA-Ala
Rfam family: tRNA
About the family: Transfer RNA (tRNA) molecules are approximately 80 nucleotides in length. Their secondary structure includes four short double-helical elements and three loops (D, anti-codon, and T loops). Further hydrogen bonds mediate the characteristic L-shaped molecular structure. tRNAs have two regions of fundamental functional importance: the anti-codon, which is responsible for specific mRNA codon recognition, and the 3' end, to which the tRNAs corresponding amino acid is attached (by aminoacyl-tRNA synthetases). tRNAs cope with the degeneracy of the genetic code in two manners: having more than one tRNA (with a specific anti-codon) for a particular amino acid; and 'wobble' base-pairing, i.e. permitting non-standard base-pairing at the 3rd anti-codon position.
Source: RNAcentral
GGGCUGUUGGCGCAGUCGGUAGCGCGCCGCUUCGGCAGAGCGGAGGUCGCGGGUUCGAUCCCCGCACGGUCCA